ACAGAGGGCGCGAGCGUUGUCCGGAAUCACUGGGCGUAAAGGGCGCGUAGGUGGCGGCAUAAGGCUGUGGUGAAAGUCUGGGGCUCAACUCCAGACCGGCCGCGGCGACUGUGUCGCUUGGGCACCGUAGAGGCAGAUGGAAUUCCGGGUGUAGCGGUGGAAUGCGUAGAGAUCCGGAAGAACACCGGUGGCGAAGGCGGUCGACUGGGCCAGUACUGACGCUGAGGCGCGACAGCGUGGGGAGCAAACAGGA
RNAcentral lists this ribosomal RNA (253 nucleotides) under uncultured prokaryote. RNAcentral describes it as "partial 16S ribosomal RNA". It matches the Rfam family "Bacterial small subunit ribosomal RNA", at positions 525 to 777 of the family's 1533-position model. The record is from RNAcentral.